GACGAACGCUGGCGGCGUGCUUAACACAUGCAAGUCGAACGGAAAGGCCCUGCUUGCAGGGUACUCGAGUGGCGAACGGGUGAGUAACACGUGGGUGAUCUGCCCUGCACUUCGGGAUAAGCUUGGGAAACUGGGUCUAAUACCGGAUAGGAGCCAUCUUUAGUGUGGUGGUUGGAAAGUUUUUUCGGUGUAGGAUGAGCUCGCGGCCUAUCAGCUUGUUGGUGGGGUAAUGGCCUACCAAGGCGGCGACGGGUAGCCGGCCUGAGAGGGUGUACGGCCACAUUGGGACUGGGAUACGGCCCAGACUCCUACGGGAGGCAGCAGUGGGGAAUAUUGCACAAUGGGCGCAAGCCUGAUGCAGCGACGCCGCGUGGGGGAUGAAGGCCUUCGGGUUGUAAACUCCUUUCGCUAGGGACGAAGCUUUUUUGUGACGGUACCUAGAUAAGAAGCACCGGCUAACUACGUG
This 466-nucleotide ribosomal RNA is filed under the name uncultured bacterium. RNAcentral's name for it is "partial 16S ribosomal RNA". It matches the Rfam family "Bacterial small subunit ribosomal RNA", at positions 28 to 507 of the family's 1533-position model. The record is from RNAcentral.